AGGAUUUGUUAGUCUGCUGUUAAAAAGCCGGGAAAGAAACAAUGAUAUCGUGGUCUCUUCUCUCUCUCUCCAGGAAGCUAAUACAGAACAGAUUUAUUGAUUCAAAUGCCUAAAACAUGCUUCUGAUCAGCAAAAAUGCAAUUGUGGAGGAAUUUAUUUAUGAAAACUAAGAGAACAAAUUGCACAGUAGGUGGCGAAAGAUAUUACCCAUUCUCCUUUAUCCAUAACUUGAACGGUAAUUAUGUCGUCUGCGUCUCAUUUUUUAUUGUCCUUUUCUUAUAAUUGCUAGUAUGUUUAUACAUUUGUUAACUUUUAUGCAAAUAUAUGGAAUGUAGGUUUAUUUUGUCA
Long non-coding RNA from Salvia hispanica, 348 nucleotides. RefSeq lists it as uncharacterized. NCBI's taxonomy places the organism in Eukaryota, Viridiplantae, Streptophyta, Magnoliopsida, Lamiales, Lamiaceae. The record is from RefSeq and is a predicted model, not a curated record.